GGAAGUGUAAAGUCUGAGACCGGAAAACUUGAAAACCGUCGAAGGGGAGACUCUUCCGUGAGUUCGAAUCUCACCGCCUCCGCCA
RNAcentral lists this transfer RNA (85 nucleotides) under Pseudomonas aeruginosa. RNAcentral describes it as "tRNA-OTHER". The record is from RNAcentral. Lineage: Bacteria; Pseudomonadati; Pseudomonadota; Gammaproteobacteria; Pseudomonadales; Pseudomonadaceae.